This 458-nucleotide ribosomal RNA is filed under the name uncultured bacterium. RNAcentral describes it as "SSU rRNA". It matches the Rfam family "Bacterial small subunit ribosomal RNA", at positions 26 to 518 of the family's 1533-position model. The record is from RNAcentral.
AGAAUCAACGCUGGCGGCGUGCCUAACACAUGCAAGUCGAACGAGAAAGUGGAGCAAUCCAUGAGUAAAGUGGCGCACGGGUGAGUAACACGUGACUAACCUACCCUGGAGUGGGGGAUAACUGAGGGAAACCUUAGCUAAUACCGCAUAAUACCUACGGGUCAAAGGAGCAAUUCGCUUCAGGAGGGGGUCGCGGCCGAUUAGUUAGUUGGCGGGGUAAUGGCCCACCAAGACAGUGAUCGGUAUCCGGCCUGAGAGGGCGCACGGACACACUGGAACUGAAACACGGUCCAGACUCCUACGGGAGGCAGCAGUGGGAAUUUGCGCAAUGGGGGAAACCCUGACGCAGCAACGCCGCGUGGAGGAUGAAGUCCUUCGGGACGUAAACUCCUUUCGAUCGGGACGAUUAUGACGGUACCGGAAGAAGAAGCCCCGGCUAACUUCGUGCCAGCAGCCGC